Rhipicephalus sanguineus (brown dog tick) is the source of this 380-nucleotide long non-coding RNA. RefSeq lists it as uncharacterized. The transcript is spliced from 3 exons. Lineage: Eukaryota; Metazoa; Arthropoda; Arachnida; Ixodida; Ixodidae. The record is from RefSeq and is a predicted model, not a curated record.
UUGGGAGCGGCUAGAGAACGUCACUACAGUAUUCUGCAUGUUAUUCACCAGUUAUUUUUCCUUUCACGUCUGUUAUGCUGAAAGAUUGUAGUCUACUUUGGAAUUCGUUCAAAGGGCACUUUUGGUAUUAACCCAGACCAUGGAAGCAAGGCUGAAAAAAAGCAAGGAAAGAGAACCCAAAAAUAUUCAGUUUGACGAAAAAAUCAUGGAUUCUGAAUGGAAUGUUUACAUUUUUGAACACCUAAAAAAGUACAAGAUGAAUCAAACUGCUACAAAGAGAUUAUGAUAAAGUUAUUUAUUGUGCCUGGAAUGGACAUAUGCCAAAUGCAGAAUCCAGGUGUGUGGAGAACUUUAAUAAAUAGCAGUAUUGCCCAUUUCCA